This 24-nucleotide non-coding RNA is filed under the name Arabidopsis thaliana (thale cress). The record is from RNAcentral. Lineage: Eukaryota; Viridiplantae; Streptophyta; Magnoliopsida; Brassicales; Brassicaceae.
AACCAAAUCUAAGUGCCACCGCAA